Molecule: long non-coding RNA, 860 nt
Filed under: Nicotiana benthamiana
Lineage: Eukaryota; Viridiplantae; Streptophyta; Magnoliopsida; Solanales; Solanaceae
Description: long non-coding RNA (NBEN_LNC018174)
Source: RNAcentral
UGAAAAGACGAUACAGCAAGGUUUAUUUUUUCAUCUUAAUUUUCCUUUUUCUUUCUUUUCCGGGGUUUGGGUAUUGGCUUUAUUUCUGAAUUUUUUUCCCUUUGAAAUUAUCGAAAAAAUGUAUUGUUUCUUAAAGGGUUCAUGGAAACAAGGUUAUUUUAGUCGAUGUGAUGUACAGAAUCAAUAAGUAUUAAGAUGAAGAUGUGGUAUUCUGUAAUUUUUUUAUGUUGUGGAAAGAACAAAAAAAUCAGUUUACUUUUGUAUUAAGAUGAAGAUGUGGUAAUCUGUAAUUUUUUUAUGUUGUGGAAAGAACAAAAAAUCAGUUUACUUUUUUUUUUUCAAUUAAAGUGUCGUUGUUGAAGUAGAAAUGGAAAGUUUUCUUUUUUACCAAGUUUCCAUUUUAAUCUACCUCAGUUUAUUAAUAGCAUUUUGCUAAUCUACAGAAUGUUAUACACAUAUACUAAUAUGGAGAUGAAGGUUGAUUGUUAAAUAUGUUGCAUUGCUCUUUGUAGUGGAGAUUCAACGGUUGCUUCCUAGUUUCCAUAUUAAUUUAAAUUUGCUUAAUCACUUGCCUUUUUACUUUACUUUGAGAGAAGAGUAUGAGUAGAACGUCAUUGCAAUAUUAAUCAACAGGUCCAGCCUGGUUAUGAGGUAGGUGAUGUGGUCUUGUAGAGAAGAGUAUGAGUAGAACGUAAUUGCAAGAUUCUGCUCAUCAUUGGAUCUUGUUGAGAUGAGAGAUUAUAUGGCUUUCAAGCCAAAGGAUAAGUGACAUAUUCAUUGUAAUUCAUUGUAUAUUCAUUAUACAUUUAUUGUAUACUCAUGGUAUACCUCUGUAAUGGGCUAUGAUGAUCAAUGCUGCU